CGUAGGUGCAAGCGUUGUCCGGAAUUAUUGGGCGUAAAGAGCUCGUAGGCGGUCUGUCGCGUCGGCUGUGAAACUCGGGGCUCAACCCCGAGCCUGCAGUCGAUACGGGCAGACUAGAGUGCUGUAGGGGAGACUGGAAUUCCUGGUGUAGCGGUGAAAUGCGCAGAUAUCAGGAGGAACACCGGUGGCGAAGGCGGGUCUCUGGGCAGUAACUGACGCUGAGGAGCGAAAGCGUGGGAGCGAACAGGAUU
RNAcentral lists this ribosomal RNA (251 nucleotides) under uncultured bacterium. Its description in RNAcentral is "partial 16S ribosomal RNA". It matches the Rfam family "Bacterial small subunit ribosomal RNA", at positions 526 to 779 of the family's 1533-position model. The record is from RNAcentral.